UACGUAGGGGGCAAGCGUUGUCCGGAUUUACUGGGCGUAAAGAGCGUGUAGGCGGCCACGCAGGUCCGUUGUGAAAACUGGAGGCUCAACCUCCAGCUGUCGACGGAAACCGUGUGGCUAGAGUCCGGAAGAGGAGAGUGGAAUUCCUGGUGUAGCGGUGAAAUGCGCAGAUAUCAGGAGGAACACCUGCGGUGUAGACGGCUUACUGGACCAUAACUGACGCUGAGGCACGAAGGCCAGGGGAGCAAACGGG
RNAcentral lists this ribosomal RNA (253 nucleotides) under uncultured bacterium. Its description in RNAcentral is "partial 16S ribosomal RNA". It matches the Rfam family "Bacterial small subunit ribosomal RNA", at positions 524 to 776 of the family's 1533-position model. The record is from RNAcentral.